GAUGAACGCUGGCGGCGUGCCUAAUACAUGCAAGUCGAGCGAACGGACGAGAAGCUUGCUUCUCUGAUGUUAGCGGCGGACGGGUGAGUAACACGUGGAUAACCUACCUAUAAGACUGGGGUAACUUCGGGAAACCGGAGCUAAUACCGGAUGAUAUUUUGAACCGCAUGGUUCAAAAGUGAAAGACGGUCUUGCUGUCACUUAUAGAUGGAUCCGCGCUGCAUUAGCUAGUUGGUAAGGUAACGGCUUACCAAGGCAACGAUGCAUAGCCGACCUGAGAGGGUGAUCGGCCACACUGGAACUGAGACACGGUCCAGACUCCUACGGGAGGCAGCAGUAGGGAAUCUUCCGCAAUGGGCGAAAGCCUGACGGAGCAACGCCGCGUGAGCGAUGAAGGUCUUCGGAUCGUAAAACUCUGUUAUUAGGGAAGAACAUAUGUGUAAGUAACUGUGCACAUCUUGACGGUACCUAAUCAGAAAGCCACGGCUAACUACGUG
Molecule: ribosomal RNA, 497 nt
Filed under: uncultured bacterium
Lineage: Bacteria
Description: partial 16S ribosomal RNA
Rfam family: Bacterial small subunit ribosomal RNA
Source: RNAcentral